AUUGAACGCUGGCGGCAGGCCUAACACAUGCAAGUCGAGCGGAUGAAGGGAGCUUGCUCCUGGAUUCAGCGGCGGACGGGUGAGUAAUGCCCAGGAAUCUGCCUGGUAGUGGGGGAUAACGUCCGGAAACGGGCGCUAAUACCGCAUACGUCCUGAGGGAGAAAGUGGGGGAUCUUCGGACCUCACGCUAUCAGAUGAGCCUAGGUCGGAUUAGCUAGUUGGUGGGGUAAAGGCCUACCAAGGCGACGAUCCGUAACUGGUCUGAGAGGAUGAUCAGUCACACUGGAACUGAGACACGGUCCAGACUCCUACGGGAGGCAGCAGUGGGGAAUAUUGGACAAUGGGCGAAAGCCUGAUCCAGCCAUGCCGCGUGUGUGAAGAAGGUCUUCGGAUUGUAAAGCACUUUAAGUUGGGAGGAAGGGCAGUAAGUUAAGACCUUGCUGUUUUGACGUUACCAACAGAAUAAGCACCGGCUAACUUCGU
RNAcentral lists this ribosomal RNA (483 nucleotides) under uncultured bacterium. RNAcentral's name for it is "partial 16S ribosomal RNA". It matches the Rfam family "Bacterial small subunit ribosomal RNA", at positions 30 to 506 of the family's 1533-position model. The record is from RNAcentral.